This 497-nucleotide ribosomal RNA is filed under the name uncultured bacterium. Its description in RNAcentral is "partial 16S ribosomal RNA". It matches the Rfam family "Bacterial small subunit ribosomal RNA", at positions 28 to 507 of the family's 1533-position model. The record is from RNAcentral.
GAUGAACGCUGGCGGCGUGCCUAAUACAUGCAAGUCGAGCGAACAGACGAGGAGCUUGCUCCUCUGACGUUAGCGGCGGACGGGUGAGUAACACGUGGAUAACCUACCUAUAAGACUGGGAUAACUUCGGGAAACCGGAGCUAAUACCGGAUAAUAUAUUGAACCGCAUGGUUCAAUAGUGAAAGACGGUUUUGCUGUCACUUAUAGAUGGAUCCGCGCCGCAUUAGCUAGUUGGUAAGGUAACGGCUUACCAAGGCAACGAUGCGUAGCCGACCUGAGAGGGUGAUCGGCCACACUGGAGCUGAGACACGGUCCAGACUCCUACGAGAGGCAGCAGUAGGGAAUCUUCCGCAAUGGGCGAAAGCCUGACGGAGCAACGCCGCGUGAGUGAUGACGGUCUUCGGAUCGUAAAACUCUGUUAUUAGGGAAGAACAAAUGUGUAAGUAACUAUGCACGUCUUGACGGUACCUAAUCAGAAAGCCACGGCUAACUACGUG